This 493-nucleotide ribosomal RNA is filed under the name uncultured soil bacterium. Its description in RNAcentral is "bacterial SSU rRNA". It matches the Rfam family "Bacterial small subunit ribosomal RNA", at positions 26 to 513 of the family's 1533-position model. The record is from RNAcentral.
AGAUUGAACGCUGGCGGCAGGCCUAACACAUGCAAGUCGAGCGGCAGCACGGGUACUUGUACCUGGUGGCGAGCGGCGGACGGGUGAGUAAUGCCUAGGAAUCUGCCUGAUAGUGGGGGAUAACGCUCGGAAACGGACGCUAAUACCGCAUACGUCCUACGGGAGAAAGCAGGGGACCUUCGGGCCUUGCGCUAUCAGAUGAGCCUAGGUCGGAUUAGCUAGUUGGUGGGUAAUGGCUCACCAAGGCGACGAUCCGUAACUGGUCUGAGAGGAUGAUCAGUCACACUGGGAACUGAGACACGGCCCAGACUCCUACGGGAGGCAGCAGUGGGGAAUAUUGGACAAUGGGCGAAAGCCUGAUCCAGCCAUGCCGCGUGUGUGAAGAAGGUCUUCGGAUUGUAAAGCACUUUAAGUUGGAGGAAGGCAGUUACCUAAUACGUAUCCGUUUUGACGUUACCGACAGAAUAAGCAACCGGCUAACUCUGUGCCAGCA